RNAcentral lists this ribosomal RNA (467 nucleotides) under uncultured bacterium. RNAcentral describes it as "partial 16S ribosomal RNA". It matches the Rfam family "Bacterial small subunit ribosomal RNA", at positions 28 to 506 of the family's 1533-position model. The record is from RNAcentral.
GACGAACGCUGGCGGCGUGCUUAACACAUGCAAGUCGAACGGAAAGGCCCUGCUUUUGUGGGGUGCUCGAGUGGCGAACGGGUGAGUAACACGUGAGUAACAUGCCCUUGACUUUGGGAUAACUUCAGGAAACUGGGGCUAAUACCGGAUAGGAGCUCCUGCUGCAUGGUGGGGGUUGGAAAGUUUCGGCGGUUGGGGAUGGACUCGCGGCUUAUCAGCUUGUUGGUGGGGUAGUGGCUUACCAAGGCUUUGACGGGUAGCCGGCCUGAGAGGGUGACCGGCCACAUUGGGACUGAGAUACGGCCCAGACUCCUACGGGAGGCAGCAGUGGGGAAUAUUGCACAAUGGGCGGAAGCCUGAUGCAGCAACGCCGCGUGCGGGAUGACGGCCUUCGGGUUGUAAACCGCUUUCGCCUGUGACGAAGCGUGAGUGACGGUAAUGGGUAAAGAAGCACCGGCUAACUACGU